This 421-nucleotide ribosomal RNA is filed under the name uncultured bacterium. RNAcentral's name for it is "bacterial SSU rRNA". It matches the Rfam family "Bacterial small subunit ribosomal RNA", at positions 355 to 774 of the family's 1533-position model. The record is from RNAcentral.
UAAGGAAUAUUGGUCAAUGGACGCAAGUCUGAACCAGCCAUGCCGCGUGAAGGAUGAAGGUCCUCUGGAUUGUAAACUUCUUUUAUCUGGGACGAAAACGGGAUUUUUAUCUCAAUUGACGGUACCAGAGGAAUAAGCACCGGCUAACUCCGUGCCAGCAGCCGCGGUAAUACGGAGGGUGCGAGCGUUAUCCGGAUUUACUGGGUUUAAAGGGUGCGUAGGUGGGCUUAUAAGUCAGUGGUGAAAUCUCCGAGCUUAACUUGGAAACUGCCGUUGAUACUAUAGGUCUUGAAUUAUCUGGAGGUAAGCGGAAUAUGUCAUGUAGCGGUGAAAUGCUUAGAUAUGACAUAGAUCACCAAUUGCGAAGGCAGCUUACUACAUAUAAAUUGACGCUGAGGCACGAAAGCGUGGGGAUCAAACA